UCUUAGGAGCCGUCAUCACCGUUGUCUGU
RNAcentral lists this non-coding RNA (29 nucleotides) under Mus musculus (house mouse). The record is from RNAcentral. Lineage: Eukaryota; Metazoa; Chordata; Mammalia; Rodentia; Muridae.